AGGCAGCACAAUAUGGUAGUGCCGAGCAGGCCUCUGCGUAAGCUUCGUAGUAAACUUAAACCAUGUUCUCUUACAAAUCUCCAGAGUCAGGCAGCACCAGCCACUGAAUGGAGCAAAUGCAAAAAAAGCUGAGGUCUUUAUCUUCCUCAAGCUUUACCGAGUCCACAGAGCUGCCUGUUGGAAGGUGUUCCAGUCUCGAAGACUUGUAAAAACAAAGAGAAAGAAGAAUUUCCUCCUGCACAAUGUGACAUUGCAAAUUGGCUUAACUGCUGGAGACCUUGUGCUUCCUUUCUGAGAUUACCUGGGACAUCAGCUACUGUCACCAAAGAGUGAUCAGCACCAUUGUAACCCUGUCACAAGAGUGUGUGUGUAUAUGUGUGUAAGUGCGCAUGCAUAUAAGUUCAUCAGAGAAAUCUUUGUAGGAAGGCAGUGGAAAAUUAAUGGCCUAGAUUAUAAAAAAUGGAAGGCAUUUUUUACAAACAGAAACAUCUUACUAUACAUUGCUUUGCUUCAAAAGUUUGUUCCACAAAGAGUCCUCAGUUUUACUGAAAAGCAUUAUUUGUCCUUAACACUCUUAAGAAUUUGAACUAUGAUAAAAAGGAAAUCUUAGUUAUUUCUGUCUUACUCUCCAAUCCCUCUGGCAUUUGAUGAUAACAUAAAUGUCCCAGAAAUAGUAAACUGCCUCAUUCACAUUGCAAAGUGUAUUCGUAAGUAUUCCAAUCUCAAGUCCAGGCCUAUUCUUUUGAAGUAGGUAUUAUUGUGCUCAUUCUAUAAAAGUAUACACUAAGUGCAAAGUGAUUAAUCUAGCAAAUCACAACUAUUUUAGUGGCAAAAUAUAAUAUCCAGAGAAAUAGCUCUGGCUUAAAGUCUUGGCUUUGCCAAUUACUAGCAUAAAAUCUAGGGCAAGAUGAUUAACAGAACUAUACUUCAGUUUUUUCAUCCACAAAAUGGAGCUGAGAGUGCACAAAUAACUGCUUUACAAUAAGUUAAUCCAUGGAAAAUUAUUUAAACAGAGUCUAGUACAAAUUAUGCCCUCAAUAAAACUUUAUGCUGGCUAUUAGUAGUUAGUAUUGCCAGUUAGGACUAACAAUGGUAUUUCGAGACCAAGUCAUUUAUUCUUCGUAUAGGCAAUGUGAUAUGCUGUAUUGAUGGGGCAAAAUUCAUGACACUUUCAACAUAAAAAAGGAGGAGUUUGUUCUGAUUCUGUCUCAAGGAAGUAUGUCAUGAUGGAAGGACAUAAUGAGAGAAAACUGUUUACUUCACAAUGUCCAGGAAGCAGAGAGCAGAAGAGGAGAACAGAGGAAUAGGCCAGGCAUAAGACAUAGGUCCAGGGUCUUGGACCUAUGGACCUAGAUGUGUAAGUCCUGAUGACCAAGUAUGCAUUAGUAAUCACAUAGGUGUCUUUCAAGCAAAUCAAGUUGACAAUUGCUUUGAUUAAUACUACAACCAAUGAGAAUAAUUGUAUUCAGAGUUUAAAAAAGCUUACAUAGUAAACAUUCAAUAAGCAUGGGUGGCUGUGCACAGAAAGAUGAACAGAUAGACUUAAACUAUGAUUUGAGCCAUGGCACCUAUAAACUAUAAGAAACUUAUUGAUUGACUCUAUUCAAAGAAAACAAUUGUCAAUGCUUUGAGAUUUUAUAACAUCAUUCAGUAUAAACAUUACUGUUCUGUUUUAAUUCAUUUUACUACCCCUUUUCUUCCUUAUUUUUUUAAAAAAAUAAUCAAGUCUGUGGUUUAAGGACAAUGUGGCCACAUCCAACAUCAUCUUUCUAUAUCUCUGAAGUAAUUAAAGCAAAUGCAAGCGGAAAACUCGGCAGUCUAAGACAACAGCUAUUUCUUGGCAUUAUCAAUCUGCCAAAACUCUUUUCUCCACUUACUAAGAACUCCCCCAACUAAUCAAAACUUUCCAUGAAACAAAGUGGUCCUCACAAGAUAUAUAAGAUGGCUUUUCUAGAGUCUAGCUGCUGAUUGCUCUAAAGAUAGAGAAAGGAACAGGUUAUGAAAAUAACCCCAAACUCUGUUUGGAUCAAGAUGAAAUAGUCUAGCAAUAUGAACCAGAGGAAAGCAUCUAAGAGAAAUGGUAAUAAGCAGCUCCUCAUUGUUUUGGAACAAGUGUGCCUUUUUUUCCCCCUAACAAUCUAUCGCUGAGUGCCACGGUGCUGUUUCAUAUCAAGAUUUCAAAAACCAUUACAAGCUGCAUAGGUAAUGGAGGCUCAACCAGAUGUGAUGAAGUUUCCAUUGUUUUACUUAGUGCAUGGAAAAUAUUACUAAUGGCUGGUGUCAGGGGAGGCUUAACUGCCCCCAGUUGGCCAAACUCUGCUGGGCUCAUUUCUUUAAAUCAGACCCUUUAAAUACUCUCUCUUGUUAUUUCACAACCCCCCUGCUCCUAUUUUACAAGAUGUUUGACUACAUAAAGCUCAUUUUAGGCAAAGGGGAAAUUCCAUGACUGCAUGAACAGGUGGUCCAGGGAUGUGGAAGAAGAGUGGGAUAUUUUUCCUUGUGACUGAAUUUUAUUUACAGCUCAUUCUUGAUUAUCUUUGGACACCAGAGAAAGUAAAGCACAAUGAAGAAACUGAAGUUUGAAAAAAAUAUCCGUUCAGGCUUGCUUUCUUGUCAUUAGAGUCAGAAGGAAUACUAAAGGUUACAACACUGACAAACCUGGGCGAAACUUUUCCUACUGUAAUUAUUCUUACCUGCCUUCUCCGGUGUAUGCACUGAGAUUAAAGAAAAAAGUUGUCACUCAGAAAAAGGCGGGGGGGGGCGGGAGGCCCUUAAUUCCUACUAGCCUAGAGUUGACAUUCCAUUUUUGGUUUGAAUAUAUGAUUUGUGCAUUAAAUUUUUGGAGGUAUUGAUAAACACACGUCAGAGAAACAUUUGACUUCCGUUUCUGUAAUAUACCAGCGCUUCCAAAACAAUGUAGCUGUUUCAGUAAAGCACAGACUUGUUCUUUUCAUUUAACUUAAAAGACACCAGAGUAGGUCAUGUUCUUUUCACAUUCUGCCUCUAAACUUUGCAUUCAUUACAUGUAUCCUUCAUCCCUUUUGUAAAAUUGAUAUUAUCUUCCAAACUGCACUCACCAAAAUCCAGGCCUCAAUGUUAGUUUACAGGGGGGGAAAAAAAGGAAAUGCUUCUCUAAACCUUGGUAGACUUGAUUUCAGUCUUUGCCUUUAUCAGAAUGUCUUUUUGGCAGUAUUGGAGUAGAGACCCCCUGACGGUAACCUUCUUGAAACAAGUUGUCUGGCACUUAAAUAUUUACCCUUGAAGUCAUAAGUUCAAAAAAGGUCAAAAUAAGAAAAUGUGACAAUGAUUUCAGAAAUGAACAUAUUAUUGGAUUGCUGCAUCUUAAAUAUUUUUCUUAACUGUGUUAUUAUUCAAAUGGAAUUUUGAUGAAACAGCAUUGAAUUUUUAAAAACUUUAUAUAACUGUGACAUAAAUGUACAGUGGUCGUUACUUUUUAAAAAAUCAAAACUCAUGCAUACCUGCUUCCUGGAUGCAGGUUUUAAAAGACAAGCGAUCAUUAAUGAAAAACAAAGUCCUUCUAGGUUUUACAGCUCUCUGUCAAACUAAAACUCAAUUAAAGCCUUUCAUGGUACAUGAAAAAUACCCGCAUUUACUGUGCAGUUUAUAUGUGUUCACUGACUUCUUAGUUGUUUUUUAUUAGUGUGGGUCCCUGCAGGAAGUCAUAUGCUGAA
Cavia porcellus (domestic guinea pig) is the source of this 3692-nucleotide long non-coding RNA. RefSeq lists it as uncharacterized. The record is from RefSeq and is a predicted model, not a curated record. The transcript has 3 exons. NCBI's taxonomy places the organism in Eukaryota, Metazoa, Chordata, Mammalia, Rodentia, Caviidae.